RNAcentral lists this transfer RNA (76 nucleotides) under Desulfobacteraceae bacterium 4572_130. RNAcentral describes it as "tRNA-Met". It matches the Rfam family "tRNA". From Rfam's summary of the family: Transfer RNA (tRNA) molecules are approximately 80 nucleotides in length. Their secondary structure includes four short double-helical elements and three loops (D, anti-codon, and T loops). RNAcentral also lists the same sequence under 1 other name. The record is from RNAcentral. Lineage: Bacteria; Pseudomonadati; Thermodesulfobacteriota; Desulfobacteria; Desulfobacterales; Desulfobacteraceae.
GGGCCUAUAGCUCAGCUGGCAGAGCCCCCGGCUCAUAACCGGUCGGUCCCUGGUUCGAAUCCAGGUGGGCCCACCA